RNAcentral lists this ribosomal RNA (657 nucleotides) under Entoloma defibulatum. RNAcentral describes it as "eukaryotic LSU rRNA". The stretch from base 248 to 401 matches the Rfam family "5.8S ribosomal RNA". Lineage: Eukaryota; Fungi; Basidiomycota; Agaricomycetes; Agaricales; Entolomataceae. The record is from RNAcentral.
CAUUAUUGAAUAAACUUGGUUGGGUUGUUGCUGGCUCUUAGGAGCAUGUGCACGCCUUCCAUUUUUCUUUAACCACCUGUGCACCCUAUGUAGACUUGAACAACUUUCGAGACAAUGUAUUCGGUUGGAGAAUUGCUGUGGUGAAAGCCGCCAGCUUUUCUUGUGUUCAAGYCUAUGUCUUAUAUUAAACUCCUAAGAAAGUAUUAGAAUGUAAUCAAUGGGCCGUUGUGCCUUUAAACACAAAUACAACUUUCAACAACGGAUCUCUUGGCUCUCGCAUCGAUGAAGAACGCAGCGAAAUGCGAUAAGUAAUGUGAAUUGCAGAAUUCAGUGAAUCAUCGAAUCUUUGAACGCACCUUGCGCUCCUUGGUACUCCGAGGAGCAUGCCUGUUUGAGUGUCGUGAAAUUCUCAACCUUUCUAGCUUUUGCAAGCUGGAUUAGGCUUGGAUUAUGGGAGCUGCUGGCUUUUGAAGUCGGCUCUUCUGAAAUACAUUAGCAAGAUCAUUGCUGCCUUAUCACUGGUAUGAUAAUUAUCUAUACCGUUGAGAGGUGGUGGUUUCCUUUAUUGGAGGGUUUUGCUCCCAACCGUCUUGACUUUUAAGACAACAUUUGACAAUUUUGACCUCAAAUCAGGUAGGACUACCCGCUGAACUUAAG